CCUUAGAGUUGAUCCUGGCUCAGGACGAACGCUGGCGGCGUGCUUAACACAUGCAAGUCGAACGGGGUGUUUAUUUCGGUAAACACCAAGUGGCGAACGGGUGAGUAACGCGUAAGCAAUCUACCUUCAAGAUGGGGACAACACUUCGAAAGGGGUGCUAAUACCGAAUGAAUGUAAGAGUAUCGCAUGAGACACUUACUAAAGGAGGCCUCUGACAUAAGCUUCCGCUUGAAGAUGAGCUUGCGUCUGAUUAGCUAGUUGGUGAGGGUAAAGGCCCACCAAGGCGACGAUCAGUAGCCGGUCUGAGAGGAUGAACGGCCACAUUGGGACUGAGACACGGCCCAGACUCCUACGGGAGGCAGCAGUGGGGAAUCUUCCGCAAUGGGCGAAAGCCUGACGGAGCAACGCCGCGUGAACGAUGAAGGUCUUAGGAUCGUAAAGUUCUGUUGUUAGGGACGAAGGGUAAGGAUCAUAAUAAGGUUUUUAUUUGACGGUACCUAACGAGGAAGCCACGGCUAACUACGUGCCAGCAGCCGCGGUAAUACGUAGGCGGCAAGCGUUGUCCGGAAUUAUUGGGCGUAAAGGGAGCGCAGGCGGGAAACUAAGCGGAUCUUAAAAGUGCGGGGCUCAACCCCGUGAUGGGGUCCGAACUGGUUUUCUUGAGUGCAGGAGAGGAAAGCGGAAUUCCCAGUGUAGCGGUGAAAUGCGUAGAUAUUGGGAAGAACACCAGUGGCGAAGGCGGCUUUCUGGACUGUAACUGACGCUGAGGCUCGAAAGCUAGGGUAGCGAACGGGAUUAGAUACCCCGGUAGUCCUAGCCGUAAACGAUGGAUACUAGGUGUGGGAGGUAUCGACUCCUUCCGUGCCGGAGUUAACGCAAUAAGUAUCCCGCCUGGGGAGUACGGCCGCAAGGUUGAAACUC
RNAcentral lists this ribosomal RNA (921 nucleotides) under uncultured bacterium. RNAcentral describes it as "bacterial SSU rRNA". It matches the Rfam family "Bacterial small subunit ribosomal RNA", at positions 1 to 902 of the family's 1533-position model. The record is from RNAcentral.